This is a long non-coding RNA of Felis catus (domestic cat), 644 nucleotides long. RefSeq lists it as uncharacterized. Lineage: Eukaryota; Metazoa; Chordata; Mammalia; Carnivora; Felidae. The transcript is spliced from 3 exons. The record is from RefSeq and is a predicted model, not a curated record.
GGAAAGAACGUUGGUUGCCAGAAGACAAGGCGGAAGAGAGACAGAGAGAGAGAGAGAGAGAGAGAGUCGCUAACCUCAGAACCCCUGCAACACCCAAGCGUGAGGACUGGUUCACAUCGUGGAUUCUCCACCUAGCUGUUACCCACAACUAGUGAUGGCUGAAGAGCCGUGAAUGGGGAGAACACCAGCUCACGUUUGGCCAGUACCAGUGUGCCGGGUACUAUUCAAACCGUAGCUGGCCCAUGCCCUCCGGGCCUUGCAAGGAGCUGACCACCAUCCACAGAAAUAAGAGGACCCGACGUGAGACGGAAAGUGAGAGCGGCUGAUUCCCCCCUUCUGGAGAACACAGCGGCACCAGGCCGGCCUGGCCUUUCGCCUGACCGCCCGCGUUUAAGACACCAUCCCUUUAUCUGGCUUUCAUUAGAGCCUCGGCCGCGCCUCUUUUGUGGGAGAGACUUAUGGGAACCCAGGCAGUUUCCCAGCCGCUGUGAUGUUGCUAAAGAUUAAAAAGGAGCUUUGAAGCUGUACCAGUUCUCUCUGCGCCCCCUCGGUACAGGGCCUCAGAAAGACCCAAGCCAUCUGGCAAACCUGACAUAAAGACAAAAUAAAGUGAUUGAGACUGGCUCUUCAAAGCCACAAUGGCA